CAACCCUCCAAGCAGGGCCUCUGACAAAAUUAUGGCGGCGCGGAUAGUUUUAUAGGCCUAAGCGAGCCGUUUUAUGGCUUUGGGAGGAGAGAACAUGCCACUGUCGAAUAUUUACGAUGGGUUUGGUUGUUGUAAAAGCUCCAUCGCUGGCUUUUGCAGAGCCACAAGCCGGACAGUACACGAAGAGGCAAGACUUCGUUGGAAUUUCUAUUCUUCGAACAAAAUUUUCUAACGGAACUCCGUUCGAAGACGAAAACAGUUAGGCCUAACGUUUAGGAGAAUGAUAACAGCAAUGGCGGACGGAUUGUUGUGGUUUUCGUUGUUGCGUGAGCUGUAGACGCUAUUUAUCGAAGUAGUGACUGGGUUUGUUGCUGUUUUACAUCGAACUGUUAAAAUGUCGUUACGCAUAAAACGAAUAAGCAAAAACUAUAUCAAAGUCUGAGGAUUCACUAUUAAAAAGGGCCUAAUUUAAAGAUGAAAAACAGCUCCAUGUUGCUGAAGGAAAGUAAAAGGUGAUUUAUCAAAAACAUUUCUGAAUUUUUUGGGGACAAUCAAAGUGUUUUUGAUGUCUUUAAUCUCGCCUUUCUCAAAAGAUAACUGGUUGAAGAUAGUUGUAGAAAGAGCAGUACACAAAGAAGAAAUGUCACCUUUUUCCUGCAAAAUAGUAACUGUUCUUUUGUUUCGAACUGAAGUUUAUCGUUUUACCUUCAUGCAUUAUCUGUUCACCGAUUUGUCUUUGCCAGUAACAGAUAAGAAUCCAGACCGAUAACUCCUUUGGUACCAUUCAUCAUGUCCAUUAUUCAAAGCUGGUAACAGAUACUUCUGUGCUGCUAACAGAUACUUCUGUAGAAACAUUAUCACACCAAGAAAAAUGACUAUUUUCCACUAAAAUUUAGUAUGGGUAUAAAUAAAAUUUCUCAUUUUAAAAGAGUAAAUAUAUUCUAGAGUUUUAUGGGGAAUACGUUGAUUUCUUCGAUAAUCAAUUGCUUAUUUGUAAUGGUUUAAAACAAAGUGACAUCUCAUAACAUUUUGGUUACUGUCUAGCCAAACUAUGCUUUUUAAGAUUUUAUUUGCCUUGUAACAUGCUUACAAAAAAGUUUUUAUUCCUUAAAUAAAGUAAUAAAAUCUAAUAAAAGGUUUGAGUUGUCCAUUUUCGCCACCGAUAUCGAACGAUGACAAUAUUCAUAAAUUUAUUUAUACUUUGGAGACACUUUUAUAUUGAUGCCUAGCGUUCUUUUUCAAGCAUAGUUCAAACACUCACCCAUAUGAGCUUAGAUUAUUUUUUUGUGAGUCAAGGGCACUAGCAGGACUUUACUUAAAAGGGUGCAAGCAGGGAAAUAUAUUUAUUAAAAUAACUCAAAAACCGUUUGAAAAAUUUAUUAAAUUU
Molecule: long non-coding RNA, 1387 nt
Organism: Parasteatoda tepidariorum (common house spider)
Lineage: Eukaryota; Metazoa; Arthropoda; Arachnida; Araneae; Theridiidae
Source: RefSeq, a predicted model, not a curated record